RNAcentral lists this long non-coding RNA (223 nucleotides) under Setaria italica (foxtail millet). RNAcentral describes it as "long non-coding RNA (SITA_LNC002932)". The record is from RNAcentral. Lineage: Eukaryota; Viridiplantae; Streptophyta; Magnoliopsida; Poales; Poaceae.
AGGCCGCGGAUAUAGGUUUAAGUAAAAGAAAUUGUUUAUGUGUUAAACAAAGGGUGAAAAUAAUUGAAGAACUGAAACACGUAGAGAACCAAGAAAAGGAGUACGCACCAGCAAGAAUAAAUGGAAUACAUGUAAUUCAUUGUAUGUAAGCGCCUGCUUGGCAAGGCAAACGGCAAGGCUUAGCCAAAAUCUAAACCAGCAAAAUGGUAGAGAACACAUAAAG